This is a non-coding RNA of Amanita rubescens, 74 nucleotides long. Lineage: Eukaryota; Fungi; Basidiomycota; Agaricomycetes; Agaricales; Amanitaceae. The record is from the annotation of a GenBank genome assembly.
GGUGUUGUGGCUGAGUGGUUAAAGCGCAUCUUUGUGUUGCACGUGGCCUUGGGUUCGAAUCUCGAGCAAAGUAA